UGGGGAAUUUUGGACAAUGGGGGCAACCCUGAUCCAGCCAUGCCGCGUGAGUGAAGAAGGCCUUCGGGUUGUAAAGCUCUUUCGGCGGGGACGAAACGGUCCGUGACAACACCACGGACUAAUGACAGUACUCGCAGAAGAAGCACCGGCUAACUACGUGCCAGCAGCCGCGGUAAUACGUAGGGUGCAGGCGUUAAUCGGAAUUACUGGGCGUAAAGCGUGCGCAGGCGGCUCCUUAAGUCAGAUGUGAAAUCCCCGGGCUUAACCUGGGAACUGCGUUUGAAACUGAGGGGCUAGAGUGUGGAAGAGGGGGGUGGAAUUCCAGGUGUAGCAGUGAAAUGCGUAGAGAUCUGGAGGAACACCGAUGGCGAAGGCAGCCCCCUGGGCUAACACUGACGCUCAUGCGCGAAAGCGUGGGGAGCAAACAGGAUUAGAUACCCCAGUAGUCCCUGAGCGGGCUGGCAAGGCGCAU
Molecule: ribosomal RNA, 472 nt
Filed under: uncultured bacterium
Lineage: Bacteria
Description: bacterial SSU rRNA
Rfam family: Bacterial small subunit ribosomal RNA
Source: RNAcentral